Long non-coding RNA from Condylostylus longicornis, 913 nucleotides. RefSeq lists it as uncharacterized. NCBI's taxonomy places the organism in Eukaryota, Metazoa, Arthropoda, Insecta, Diptera, Dolichopodidae. The transcript has 3 exons. The record is from RefSeq and is a predicted model, not a curated record.
AAAAUAACAAAACAAAAAGAGAAAAAAAAGAGAGAAAAAAAAUGGCAUAAAUAUUAAACAAAAUAUAUAAAACACAAUAUAUACGUAUGUAUAUAUACAAACGUGUAUACAAAUAUAUUUUCGGUAGACUCCAUUAAAGUGCUAAUGCCCUUUCUCUUAUUAAAAAAAAAAAAAAACAGAAAAACGUAAAGAAAUAUUAACAGAAAAAAAAGAAACACAGAAAAUAUAAAUAAUAAGAAAAGUUUAUAUACAAAAACCUGAAAAGAGAAAAUAUUGUGGUGUGUACGUAAGUAAGUUCGAUGUUCGUGUUUUGUUCUUAAUUUUGGUGUAAUUUUGCUUUUUUUUUGAAACCAAUAUGGAGUCACCAUCAACGACAACACCAUAGAGAUAAAAUUUAAAAAAACAGAAAGCAAAAAACGAUAACAAGAAGAAAAAUAAUUUAUGAAAAACAUUUAUAAAAUAAAAUGAUGAAAAUAAUAUUGAAAUUUUUAUAUUAAAACAGAAAAAUAUAAACUAUAAAAAAAAAAUAACAAUAAAAACAAGAAAAUAAAAAAUUGAGUUAUAUCUCAAGGAAAAUUUUCUUAAGAAUUUUUUCUCUUUCUUUUUUUUACACACUACUACUACUACAAUAAUAAAACAAAAUAAAAAUAAUAAUAAUAAAAAAAGUAUAUUAAAUCUAUUAUACUAGUAUUUACUCUAUUAUUAUACACUAAAAUUAAAAUAUUCAUAAAUUUCGAAUAGUAUAUAAUAUUAUAAUAAAUAUACAAGUAUGUAACUAUGUACGUAAACGUACAAAAUAAUAAAAAACAAAAAGAAACACAACAACCACCUUUAAUUGAAGUUUUUCUUUUUUCAUUAUUAUUUACGAGUAUAAAAUUUGAGUGAAAAUAUAUUUGUAUUUCUUUUUUUAAUU